UACAGGGGGUGCAAACGUUGCUCGGAAUCAUUGGGCGUAAAGCGCACGUAGGCGGUCUGUUAUGUCGGAUGUGAAAGCCCUUGGCUCAACUGAGGAAGUGCAUCCGAAACUGGCAGGCUAGAGUACUAAAGAGGAUCGCGGAAUUCCCGGUGUAGAGGUGAAAUUCGUAGAUAUCGGGAGGAACACCUGUGGCGAAAGCGGCGCACUGGACCAUAACUGACGCUGAGGCGCGAAAGCUAGGGGAGCAAACAGG
RNAcentral lists this ribosomal RNA (253 nucleotides) under uncultured bacterium. RNAcentral's name for it is "partial 16S ribosomal RNA". It matches the Rfam family "Bacterial small subunit ribosomal RNA", at positions 524 to 776 of the family's 1533-position model. The record is from RNAcentral.